AGGCAGAGCAUUUUCAUAUUAACCCUCUGACUCUUUUUAAUCUCAGACACACACACACACACACACACACACACAGUCUGCAGCUCCUCUCGGGUAUUUAAUCUCUCUUUGUCAGCCACGAAUUCUAUUACUUACUGAGAUCACUCAAAAGAAGUUAAAAGACGUAUAAGAAGUUCUGCUCUCUAAAUCUGCAUUUUUUUUCUUUUCUUCUGCACUUACUAAAUUAACCGAGCUAAUUGAGGUCUACCUCUCACCAGAACUCGUGUGAGCAGAUUAACCAGCAGCAACACUAUGUUACCAGGUGCUGAAGUCCAGGGCACUAGGGAGAUUAACAAUUACUUCAGCUGCAGAAAAAAAGAGGGGGGGAAGCUGUCAUCAAGAAGAGUCAGCAAUCAAGGUGCAAUAGCUGAACAGAGUGAAGACCUGCAAAGUUUGGAGGACAUGAUUCUGUGUUCCAUCCUCCACUUGUGCCAUUCUUGAUUAAGGGCUACUUCGAGUCUCUAUUUUUGCCAAUACAAGCCCUCUUUCAUCAGGCUACAGAACUCAGGCACACAUCCCCAGUGACUGAUAUACAGUAUCUCCGAGAGACAAGGAAAUGUUUUUUGCUGCUAAAUAUUCUGUAAGUUACAGCCACUUAAUGGUUUUUCUAUGAGCUAACUGACUUUUAGUACAUGACAUCCACAGAGAGAUUUAUUACUCGUUCUCUCACAUUAGCCAUUGACCAAGGCUUGCCUCAACCAUUACUCCUAGGAUAGCUAAUUUAACGUCACGAGCACCAGAUGGAAAUAUUCUACUCAGUCUGCAAAAACGUGUUUAAACUUUAAAAAACCCUUGAAAUCAAACGUGUGCUGUUAACAGCUCCCAAUCAGCCAGAUGGCAUGUCAUUUUUGUUUCAUUUACAUCUUAUAUCACAGCAAAUCAAAUCAAUGUGUACUGUACCCACAAAGCCAAUUCGUUUGACUUUGUUUCUUGAUGGGGCAUCGGUUAUUGGAAAAAAAUCAACAAUAAAUUGUCAUUGUAGGCAAAUUGUUGUGGUAUAACACAAUAUUUACUUAUGAAUUUGGUUGGAUGUUUUAUAUAUAUAUAAAAAAAAAUUGUGCUCAGGAUUAUGGAUCCAGUCAAUGCAUAUGAUGGGAAUACAUUCUAAAAAGUACACCAUGCAUUCACACAUUCACACCAAACUUUUGUUUAGAGUAGAAAACAUGCUUAUGUGUUUUUGGGUAGUUGAGAGGA
This is a long non-coding RNA of Silurus meridionalis, 1233 nucleotides long. RefSeq lists it as uncharacterized. The transcript has 3 exons. The record is from RefSeq and is a predicted model, not a curated record. Lineage: Eukaryota; Metazoa; Chordata; Actinopteri; Siluriformes; Siluridae.